Molecule: long non-coding RNA, 298 nt
Filed under: Bos taurus (domestic cattle)
Lineage: Eukaryota; Metazoa; Chordata; Mammalia; Artiodactyla; Bovidae
Description: long non-coding RNA NONBTAT006119
Source: RNAcentral
GCACUCAUGACUCACCAGCCGAAUCCUAGGAAGUCUGGAGAAAGAGAAGUCUGCAUAAUCUCCAUGUUUGGAAAGCAAAUUUACCGAGUAUCCUUUGAGAACUGGAAGCAGCUACACUCCAUGCAUUCAGUCUCCUGAUUCUCGGUGAAGAACAAGAGGAUCCAGUAUUGUGUAGAGGUCCUUCUUUGUCAUCUGAUGAUGGGAUGAUGGCUGUUUUGGUGAUGACUUUCCAAAACUGUGUUAGUACUUGUAGUCAAAACUCUGAAUUUCCAUCCUGAAUGGCAAAGAGAUCGUCAGG